This 253-nucleotide ribosomal RNA is filed under the name uncultured bacterium. RNAcentral's name for it is "partial 16S ribosomal RNA". It matches the Rfam family "Bacterial small subunit ribosomal RNA", at positions 524 to 776 of the family's 1533-position model. The record is from RNAcentral.
UACAGAGGUCUCAAGCGUUGUUCGGAUUCAUUGGGCGUAAAGGGUGCGUAGGCGGCGCGGUAAGUCGGGUGUGAAAUUUCGAGGCUUAACUUCGAAACUGCAUUCGAUACUGCCGUGCUUGAGGACUGGAGAGGAGACUGGAAUUUACGGUGUAGCGGUGAAAUGCGUAGAUAUCGUAAGGAAGACCGGUGGCGAAGGCGGGUCUCUGGACAGUUCCUGACGCUGAGGCACGAAGGUCAGGGGAGCAAACGGG